RNAcentral lists this ribosomal RNA (494 nucleotides) under uncultured bacterium. RNAcentral describes it as "partial 16S ribosomal RNA". It matches the Rfam family "Bacterial small subunit ribosomal RNA", at positions 28 to 507 of the family's 1533-position model. The record is from RNAcentral.
GACGAACGCUGGGGGCGUGCUUAACACAUGCAAGUCGAACGGAAAGGCCUGCUUUCCCUUGUGGAUUGCGGGUACUCGAGUGGCGAACGGGUGAGUAACACGUGAGUGAUCUGCCCCCAACUUGGGUAUAAGCCUGGGAAACUGGGUCUAAUUCCCGAUAGGACUGCAGGGUGGUGCCUGUGGUGGAAAACGAUUUUCUAGUGGUUGGGGAUGAGCUCGCGGCCUAUCAGCUUGUUGGUGGGGUAAUGGCCUACCAAGGCGGCGACGGGUAGCCGGCCUGAGAGGGUGGACGGCCACAUUGGGACUGAGAUACGGCCCAGACUCCUACGGGAGGCAGCAGUGGGGAAUAUUGCACAAUGGGCGGAAGCCUGAUGCAGCGACGCCGCGUGGGGGAUGACGGCCUUCGGGUUGUAAACUCCUUUCGACCGCGAGGAAGCCACCUGGUUGGAAGGGUGGUGACGGUAGUGGUAGAAGAAGCACCGGCUAACUACGUG